CUACGGGAGGCAGCAGUGGGGAAUAUUGGACAAUGGGGGGAACCCUGAUCCAGCCAUGCCGCGUGUGUGAAGAAGGCCUUAUGGUUGUAAAGCACUUUAAGCGAGGAGGAGGCUCCCGUAGCUAAUAUCUACGGAGAGUGGACGUACUCGCAGAGUAGCCCUAAUCCC
This 168-nucleotide ribosomal RNA is filed under the name Acinetobacter sp. enrichment culture clone YFZ2. RNAcentral describes it as "partial 16S ribosomal RNA". It matches the Rfam family "Bacterial small subunit ribosomal RNA", at positions 339 to 504 of the family's 1533-position model. The record is from RNAcentral. Lineage: Bacteria; Pseudomonadati; Pseudomonadota; Gammaproteobacteria; Moraxellales; Moraxellaceae.